GAGCGGAGCUGCGCGCGCUCAGAGUUUGAAAAAAACAAAACCACAACACACGUUGCGGGGAUUCACAGAGUGAAACAGUAGUUGACCUGUUUGGAACAGAAAUGGUGACCCUGGACAUGGACACUGAAGAUGAAGUUUACCCUCCAGAGCAUUUCCUAAUAUCCCAAUGCCUAGAUACCAUCAAUGCAUACCAGAGCUGCAUACAAAGCAUUAACUGCAGCAUGUGUGCACAGCGCUGGACUCUGGGGCUGAAUUUUAUGGAUCACUUCCACAGUUCUGGAACCUAAAACAUCAACAGCAGAAUGGGCUGACAGGCGAGACAUGGCGAAUAAUGAUGAUAAUUAAAUGAUUGCAUUUAAAACAUAUUGUUGACACAAAUAUGAUGAGAAAAAUACAAUGACAAGGUAAUUACUAAGGCACUAACAAUGUUUUUUUUUUUUUGUAGAAAAAUCUAGAAAAAAGGAUUGACUCAAAAAAUCCACUAUAAGUGAGCAUAGCACAAACAAUGAUUCAAUACUUAAGUGUAAUUUUAAGCUAAUUUUGACUACAAUUAGAUCCAAAAGAAAUUGGUCCAAAAGUUUGGGGUUGGUAAGACUUUUAUGCUCACAAACG
This is a long non-coding RNA of Sinocyclocheilus rhinocerous, 612 nucleotides long. RefSeq lists it as uncharacterized. The transcript has 5 exons. The record is from RefSeq and is a predicted model, not a curated record. Lineage: Eukaryota; Metazoa; Chordata; Actinopteri; Cypriniformes; Cyprinidae.